GUUGUCCAGAAUAGAAUUUUAGUUCAACUUUAAAUUUUCCUAAAGGACACCCAACCCUAAUGAAAGUUUAAAUGUUAUUCUAAAGAGGGACAGCUCUUUAGAAACAGGAUACAGCCUUUUAUAAAGAGUAAGUCAUUUUAAACCCAUAGUUGGCCUAAAAGCAGCCAUCAAUUAAGAAAGCGUUAAAGCUCAACAAUCAAAAUCAACUUAAUUCCUAUAUUUAAGAACGAACUCUUAUAAUCCCUUAACUGGACUAAUCUAUAAAUUUAUAGAAGAAAUAAUGCUAAUAUGAGUAACAAGAAUUCUAUUCUCCUUGCACAAGCCUAUAUCAGAUCGGAUACCCGCUGAUAGUUAACAACUAGUAAUAGAAAAACUCUACAAAUUAAUCCUCUAUUAACUUUUACUGUUGACCCAACACAGGUGUGCACUAUAGGAAAGAUUAAAAGAAGGAAAAGGAACUCGGCAAACUCUAACCCCGCCUGUUUACCAAAAACAUCACCUCUAGCAUUACUAGUAUUAGAGGCACUGCCUGCCCAGUGACAAACGUUUAACGGCCGCGGUAUCCUG
Molecule: ribosomal RNA, 567 nt
Filed under: Lepus europaeus (European hare)
Lineage: Eukaryota; Metazoa; Chordata; Mammalia; Lagomorpha; Leporidae
Description: partial 16S ribosomal RNA
Source: RNAcentral